AGUGAACGCUGGCGGUAGGCCUAACACAUGCAAGUCGAACGGCAGCACAGUAAGAGCUUGCUCUUACGGGUGGCGAGUGGCGGACGGGUGAGGAAUACAUCGGAAUCUACUUUUUCGUGGGGGAUAACGUAGGGAAACUUACGCUAAUACCGCAUACGACCUACGGGUGAAAGCAGGGGAUCUUCGGACCUUGCGCGAUUGAAUGAGCCGAUGUCGGAUUAGCUAGUUGGCGGGGUAAAGGCCCACCAAGGCGACGAUCCGUAGCUGGUCUGAGAGGAUGAUCAGCCACACUGGAACUGAGACACGGUCCCGACUCCUACGGGAGGCAGCAGUGGGGAAUAUUGGACAAUGGACGCAAGCCUGAUCCAGCCAUACCGCGUGGGUGAAGAAGGCCUUCGGGUUGUAAAGCCCUUUUGUUGGUAAAGAAAAGCAGCAGGUUAAUACCCCGCUGUUCUGACGGUACCCAAAGAAUAAGCACCGGCUAACUUCGUG
RNAcentral lists this ribosomal RNA (492 nucleotides) under uncultured bacterium. Its description in RNAcentral is "partial 16S ribosomal RNA". It matches the Rfam family "Bacterial small subunit ribosomal RNA", at positions 29 to 507 of the family's 1533-position model. The record is from RNAcentral.